This 3981-nucleotide long non-coding RNA is filed under the name Mus musculus (house mouse). RNAcentral describes it as "long non-coding RNA chr1:42864356-42868337". The record is from RNAcentral. Lineage: Eukaryota; Metazoa; Chordata; Mammalia; Rodentia; Muridae.
ACAUGAAAUAAGUAAAUACAUCUUUAAGGAAGAAAAGAAGCUUCUGUGAUGAGGGUGAAAGCUACACUCAUCAGGCUGGGUGACCCUAGCUAGCCAUGGAGUGUGGGAUGGCUGCUGGGGAGUACUUUUAGCGCUGCUAGACUCCCCAGAGAAAAAGGAAGCAGGGAAUUUAAUAACUGUACAGGUGGAUCUUACUUUUUAAAAGCAAAAUCUAAUAAUUACUUUAUAUUUUAACUGAAGAAUAACAUUUUAAAAAACUUUGCCUUGGUUCUUUGUGAAUUUCAUGUCAGGUACCCCAACCCGACUCAUUUCUCCCUCCUCUCCUACUUGCCCUCCACCCUUGCAACCUCCUCCCCAAUAGGGGAAAAAUUUUGUUGUGGAAGCUGUAGUGUGUCAUGGUAUGUCCCACAGGAUACCCCUUUUCUACUCUUCCCUGCUUGCAGAUGUUCAUUGCAAUGACUUGUUUUGAUCUGAUAUGGGGCCUCUGGCUUCUGCUACUCUAGUGAUACUGGAAUCUCACUGGGACUCCUCUGUUGUUGCCCUGUGUCAGAUCUUUGGAUCUAAAGGCCCAGCCCCUUCAUGCACUCCAGCAGUUCAUGGAUGGUGUAGAUGUCUGGGUGGGCCAAUUCAAAGCCCUGGAUCUGGGCCUGAGAGGUAUGUGGCUCUCCCACUCUCCCGCCCUCAGGCUCAGCUCACUAGCAACAACACCCACCCCACCCUCAGCCAGGGCCAGCUCUACUCUGCUACCCAGGUGACGUGCAGGGCCAAUUUUCCCACUCUCACACCUCCAGCUCCAGCUCUUCUGCCUGCCGUAUAUGGCAAGGGACUAGGGAGGCGAAGAGGGUGCUUCUCCCUUGUCUAUGCUGCUGCCCAGCAGACAAGACGCAGGGCUGGCUCUCCCAUAAUCCCCACAUCCAGGGCCAGCUCUACUGUGGUGCCCAGGUGAGGUGUAGGACUUACUUCAUGAGUGCUGGGCCAGGGCCGGAUCUCCUGCUCUGAUGACCUUAGUUCUCCUGCCUGCCAUUGGUGGCAAGGGACAUGUGGCGGUGAUCUCUCCCUCCUUGUACAGAAGACAAGUGAUUGGGCCAGCUCUCACCCAGGCUCAAGCCCUCAGGACUGGCUCUCACAUCCCACCCUCCCACACCCACCCUGCCCCACCCCACCACCAUGUGCCCUACUGUGCUGCCCAGGCAAGGUACGGGCCACUCUUCUGAGUGCUGCAGCUGGUGAGGGGCAGGGCCAGCUCUUCUGUGAUGUCUAGGUGAGGGGGUGUGGCCAUUUCUGCAUGAUCAGACAUCAACAUGUCCUUAGCCAGCAGCCCAGACCAGGGAUGUCCCUCUGACUUUUGGUGGUGACAAACCUUUGCUGCUUCAGGGACAUAGGCCCAUAUAUGACCCUGGUGGCAGCACAGGGCAGGACCCAACCGAGGUUGGUCCCAGGUGGCAUCACAUCAUGCUGCUCCUCACUACCCUUAACUCUUCAGUUCUACCUUCAUUGUACCCAUCCUUUUGUUUCUCUUUCUCUUCUCUGUCUCCACCACCUGCUCUUCUUAGAGGUGCCCAGGGUCUCUGACUAUAUAGGGUCUUCUCAGGAGUAGUUUCAGGAGUGCUAUUUCCUGCUCACAUAUUAUGGUGCAGGUCAGGGGUCAUCUCUGGCAUGGUCUGUGUGUUGUUGUCCUCCUGUCUGCCGCCGCCCCCCCAACUCCCCACUUGACUGGUGGUUGACUCAUGCUAGCUUUCUGUCCAGACCCCAUGGCACUGGUCUAGUGGCCAUUUCAUGUGCCCUUCCCCCAGCCUGAGUAGGCUAAACAGACCUUGAGUGCUUGCCACAAUGGUUUCACAACCUAGGUGGAGUUGCAGCAUUUGCAGCUUCCUACAGGACCUUUGAGGAACUGACCGCCUGCUGAGCUUGCUUUGCCACUCAAUCCAGCUGAAGCAUAGGAUGGGCCUGUGGGUUCUCCCUAUAUAAACACAGUGCCGAAUAUGAAACCUUGAGCCUUGAUCAGAAACUUUGUCUUGGCUUCAUCCUUCAGGUCCUUUUUACAAAAAGCUUCAAAGCAACAGGUCAUUUUUCAUUUCCGGCCCCCUUUUCAGGUAACCCAGUUAAUCCAUAGCCACUGGAUGGCCACAAUUUUGGGCACUCCUUGCCUGCCCUGCCUGGGUAGCUCCACUUGAAGGACUCCAUGCAAAAGUUGUCUGCUUAGGGUUCACUCCUGCCUGGGGGCCCUCAGUCCCAGGCGGAGUUCUAGUCUCCCACUUGCUCCUGGUUAGGAAGCCUAUGCAGCAUAGUACUGGGCUGGUGGUUGUCUCAAAUUCGCUUUUUCCAGGGACUGUUAGACUUCUAUCAUUCAGAUGUUCAUAGGUCAGAACACUUAGUAUAGACAUAACCUCUCUCCUCUCUGCUUCUCCUACUGAUGCACAUGUGACACAGCAGCCACACCUGCAACAUUUCUAAGGGGAAGGAGGGAAGAGUAACAUUUUUACCAUUUUUUUUCUUUUGUAAUUUUAACUUUCUGAGUGAUGUGAAUAUAGUCUGAGAAAUUUAUCAGUAGAUAAUUUUGUCAUUUUGCAAUGAGUGCUUUUGCACAAACUAAAAAGGUUAUGGUCUUAUUAGUCAAUAUAAUUUAUAGGACUACUUUCAUAUAUGGUCUCUGCUAUUGACUGAAACAUUCAGUAUGUUACUGAGUACAGUUACCAUGGAGGAUUGAUUCUAAAUCCCCACUGAUACCAAGAUCUCAAUAUAAAAUUGGUGUGUGUGUGUGUGUGUGUGUGUGUGUGUGUGUGUAUACACAUGCACACCAGAAGAAGACAUCAGAUCCCAACUGAACCUAGGUCCUCUGCAAGAGCAGUAAGUGCUCUUAACCACUGAGUCCUAUCGCCUACUCUUAGGCAUCUACUUUCUAUCAUUUGCUUGUGUGAGAACUUGUUGUAUAAAUAGAACCAUACAACAUUUAGUCUUUUGUGACUUAGCACAGUGGUUUCAAUAUUUGCUCAGUUUGUAGCAGUAUUUCCAUUCCUCUGUAUUACUGAUUUUCCACUGUUGGGAUGGAAAACUUACCCAUCAGUUGAUGGGUGUUUAGACUGUUUGUCUCCUGGGAAUACUGCAGCUGUGAGCACGUAUGCUCUGAGGACACACUGUGGUUUCAACAUUCUUUUGGAUAUUUACUAUGAUAGUAAAUACGCUAAAGUCAUGAAGAUUUGCCUUCCUCUUUUGAUUUUGGGGUUUUAUCAUCUUACCUCUUACAUUUAGGUUGUUGAAAGAAAAGGUCUAGUGUCUUCUUUUACAUGUGGACACUUUCUUAUUCCAACAUCAUUUGUUACAAGGAAUUAUUUUCAUCCAUUGAAUUCUUUUGUCAUUUUUUUUAAACCAAAUACCAACUAUGUAAACAUGUGAAGGUUCUAUUUCUGAACCUUCUGUUCAUUUUAUCUGUCUGUCUGUCUGUCUGUCUAUCUGUCUAUCUCCCUACCUACCUAUCUAUCUUUCUGUUGUUUUAGUUUGGUUUUCAAGAACAAGGUUUCUCUGUGUAGCCCCACCAGGCUGGCCUUGAACUCAGAGAGCUUGCUUCUGUUGGGAUUAGAGGUAUUCACCACCGCCACCUAGCUCAUUAUCUAUAUUUUUAUUCUAUUGCUAGUGUAAGUCUGUUUUGAUAGUUGUGGCUUUGUAGUGCAUUUUAAAUUGGACAAUAUAGAUGUUUUUGUCUGCCAUUCUUGUAAGAUAAUUCUGGUUAUUGUCUGCCUCUGAAUCUUUGAAAAUUUAGGAGUAGUUUGUUGCUUUCUUCAAAAAGCCACUUGGAGUUGUUGUUUAGAACUUUGCUGAAUGGCUAUACCAGUUUUGGAACUGUUGUCACCUAAAGUUUAAAUUCUGAUCUAUGAGAACAAUAGAUCAGGCUAGUUUAAAUUUUUAGUAUCUCUUAGGAGCAUUUUGUAGUUUCCACUGUCUAAGUUUGGCGCUUGUUAAUCUUAUUUCUUUGCCUUCGUUUCU